This is a non-coding RNA of Phascolarctos cinereus (koala), 1970 nucleotides long. NCBI's taxonomy places the organism in Eukaryota, Metazoa, Chordata, Mammalia, Diprotodontia, Phascolarctidae. The record is from RefSeq and is a predicted model, not a curated record.
AUAAAAAUUGUGGAGGAGAGAGUGCGGUACGAAAGCCUAAGAGAAGGCGACAAACCGGUCGAUGAGUUGUAUCAGCAGCAGGGUGAGAAGUCUUCAGGUAAUAUGAAAUAAGAGGAGGGACUGAAUGAGACAUAACCUCCGUGAAGACUUCUUGUGGUGAUGAAAAGACUGUCUCGAAAUUAGAGAUGGGCUCUGAGAGAACCAACCCAGGCCAUGAGUUUAAAUGACCUAAACCUAUAGGAAUUUGUCACACCACUGCCACAUCAGCCUUAGAUUCGCCAAAUAAGGACAUGUGUGCUUGGAUUGGCUAUUCCCUGUUUCCUUGUUCUUUGUCUUCAGGGAAGAUUUUCUUUCCCGCCUAGAAUGUAAGCCCGCCUCCCAGCUAAUGGGAGUAAGGGAUAGUGGUGGGUGGAGGAUUUUUGUGUUAGGGUAUAUAAUCUCAUUCCAUUUUGUGUGCCUGGCCCUUCUGGAGAGAUUGCUUCCACCUUGAGAAGUCUCUGAGUUUAAUUUGAUUUAGAGUCACUGUACUGCACAAUCUGAUAAAUAGGAAAUAAUUCACAGAAGGAAGGCUUCCUGUAGGAGGUAGGCGCUGAGGUUUCAUCUGUGUCCAUACUGCGUGGCACCCUGCUUCGUGUGUGGUGGCUACUGAGCAGAUGCCCUGCAGCAUCAGGCGCUCAGUGAAGGAGCUGAUGGCGGCCUGACCGUUUUGAGGGAUCUUUCUUGGAAAUGCUGUGUAGCAUGAGAGGAACCAUAAGACUGAAGAAGGUUUUCGAAAAGGAAACAGAAUGCAGCCUGCAGACGUGGACAGUUGGCCUUGGAUUCCAGGCAAACUUCUUAAAAGAAAGCGGCCUUAGACCCAGCAUGGAACAAAAGCCUGCUGCAGGUGAAGUUCGUCUCCAUCUAGAUUUAGUGGAGUCCAAGGAGGCUUCUCGUGCUAGCCUCAGGGGAAACGCGGAGCCCCGGGUCGGAUGUCAAACUGCUCAGAACUGGAGAAGUGCAGUUCAGUUCUCAGAGCCAGUGGGAAAAGCUCGAUGGCUCCAGCAGCUCUGUGGCCUUGUUGGGGGGGGGGGUUGUUAGUCUUUAAUUAGGCGUGGGUGAGUGUGCUAAGAGAAAAAUGAGGAGUAAAAAGGCUGUACAAAGAAGCCAGAAACAUAGGUUGAGGGGGAGAGGAGAAAAAGAAGGGCUGGCUCAUCAGGCCUCGUGCAGCUCUGGGACCUCGAAGAGCUGUCUGUCUCAUGAAGUGAUCUGCUUCUGGGAAGCAUUCUCCCCUGGAAAUUCUGGAUCAAAGGUAACUGCCCUUGACUAUUGCCCAUAAACUAUCCAGUUAAUCUAAUUAAACUCAAAGAUACUCUUUCCUGAAUCAGUAUUUUAGUCUCUUUACUAGUACCUGGAAUGGACCUUAUUUCUAGGGCAGGUUGGCAGAAGCGUUUCUUCUGGUAGGUCCUUUUCCGGGUUUCAAACCACUUUAAUGCUGCCUAAAUCUGCAUGUAAUAAGACCUAGUGUGAUUUAGUGGGGCCUUACAAAACCUAAUCACACUGACCUUCAUGUGGUAAAAGCCACACAAUUAUCAGCGCCAUAGAAAGCACGUCAGGUUAAGCUGCCUGCAGCUUGUCUGAAAGUCUGGAGGGUUUCAGGCACACAUCAUUGGUUCCUUCUCUCCUGCCUGAAUCUUGUGCGUGGUACAGACGAUUCAAGCUGUAGGCUGGAGGAGGAAUCUUAAACAGGACCCAGAGGCCUGCACUUGUAAAAGUCUUCAAGGAGAGACUUCAAGGGGGGAGGGAGGACGUAAUUUAAAAUUUUCUUUACACCUUAAUUUUACAUGUGACAUCUGAGGUCUAGUUUAAUAAUUUAUAAACAAUUAACAAAAUCUGCAUAUUUUAGGCUGUGUGUGUGUUUAAAUUAAUCUGUAUGGGUUCAGAUGGGACCUGAAGGAAGGUCAGUACUUUACUUUGCUCUGUCUUGUUCUCAU